CCUCCUUCGUUUGUUUUAAACUCUUAUCAAGUUCCAUUCCUUCAACUGUGUUUACCUGAUAGCGCGAGGUCGCACCACCUGAGGCAAUCAGACCUGUAGAGACUGAGCAUGUGACUGUUGAGUCUGCACAGGCAGCACAUUUCAUGGGAACCUGACUCUGCUGGUUUUGCGUUAUUCAAUUUCAUAUGUGUAACAAUAACACGUCCUGUAAAGUCUUGCAUAAUUAAAACUCAGGCUUCAGGUCAAAGCAGGAUAAUAAACAACAAACUGAUAAUCCAGCACACUAAUGGACAAACAACCCUCAAAAACAACGUCACAAUAAAUCUGUUAAUCUAUGCACACACUUUCAAGUAAUCAAAUAAAUAACAUUAAUAAAUGUGUUUUUUUUUUAAUUGUUGUGAGAGAGGAACUUUUCUUGAAAUGUGAAAAUAUAGAGCAGCCUGUUAUGGAGAUAAAGUCCUCAAUCAAAUAACUAUUUGACAAGUCAAUAUAAUGUCUUGUAGUUUUAGUUUCACAUCUUUAUAAAUUGAUUAAUUUAGUUUCUGGCAGCCUGACAGAGAAAAUCUGAGAAAAUACAUUUUGAGACAUCCUUCCUUGCUCUGGUAAUUUGUGAUUAAAGCUUGUCACAGACUUUAGCAUUAGUUUUGUAGCUAAAUUGUAUUAAAUUCCCUUAUUUGAAAGAGUGAUAGAUUUAUUAAUGAUCAAAGUAAUAAUGAAAGUAAUUGUUCCAGUCAUAGUUGGUUAUCAUUUUGGUCAAAAACCACCAACCACGUAUGUUUCUGUUUCCUUAACACUUUAACCCCACAUGUUACCAAUACUGUAUUUUUUGUAGACAUUUAUCAUGCUACAAAUAUUAAAUUGCUUCACUGUUUCCUGCUUGCUGAACAGCACGUAGUAAAAUCACUGUGACUUAUCUUGUGCUGCAUUGCUCAAUAUUGGACUAAUCUGACCUAAUCAAAACCAUUGUCAUCUGUCAUGAGUAGGUUUUUUCCCUUGAUUUGUUAACAGCUGCCUGAGACUGAGCUUCAGAAAUAACAACCCUCGAUAAAUAUUUCAUUAAAGAUGGACAUUUCCACUUGUUAGAACUUCCGUCCCCAGCUAACCCCAAGGAUCACAAGAGCCCUGAUGUUUUAAAUUUCAUUGUCUCUGAAAUAAAUUAAGAUUGACAUUUCUA
Molecule: long non-coding RNA, 1174 nt
Organism: Lates calcarifer (barramundi perch)
Lineage: Eukaryota; Metazoa; Chordata; Actinopteri; Centropomidae
Exons: 2
Source: RefSeq, a predicted model, not a curated record